GAGUUUGAUCAUGGCUCAGGACGAACGCUGGCGGCGUGCCUAAUACAUGCAAGUCGAGCGGGCCGAACGAGAGCUUGCUCUUGUUCGGUCAGCGGCGGACGGGUGAGUAACACGUGGGCAACCUGCCCGCAAGACCGGGAUAACUCCGGGAAACCGGAGCUAAUACCGGAUAACACCAAAGACCGCAUGGUCUUUGGUUGAAAGGCGGCUUCGGCUGUCACUUGCGGAUGGGCCCGCGGCGCAUUAGCUAGUUGGUGAGGUAACGGCUCACCAAGGCGACGAUGCGUAGCCGGCCUGAGAGGGUGACCGGCCACACUGGGACUGAGACACGGCCCAGACUCCUACGGGAGGCAGCAGUAGGGAAUCUUCCGCAAUGGACGAAAGUCUGACGGAGCGACGCCGCGUGAGCGAAGAAGGCCUUCGGGUCGUAAAGCUCUGUUGUGAGGGACGAAGGAGCGCCGUUUGAAUAAGGCGGCGCGGUGACGGUACCUCACGAGAAAGCCCCGGCUAACUACGUGCCAGCAGCCGCGGUA
RNAcentral lists this ribosomal RNA (533 nucleotides) under uncultured bacterium. Its description in RNAcentral is "bacterial SSU rRNA". It matches the Rfam family "Bacterial small subunit ribosomal RNA", at positions 9 to 522 of the family's 1533-position model. The record is from RNAcentral.